AGCGAACGCUGGCGGCAGGCCUAACACAUGCAAGUCGAACGAAGUCUUCGGACUUAGUGGCGGACGGGUGAGUAACACGUGGGAACGUGCCUUUAGGUUCGGAAUAACUCAGGGAAACUUGUGCUAAUACCGAAUGUGCCCUUCGGGGGAAAGAUUUAUCGCCUUUAGAGCGGCCCGCGUCUGAUUAGCUAGUUGGUGAGGUAAAGGCUCACCAAGGCUACGAUCAGUAGCUGGUCUGAGAGGAUGACCAGCCACAUUGGGACUGAGACACGGCCCAAACUCCUACGGGAGGCAGCAGUGGGGAAUAUUGCGCAAUGGGCGAAAGCCUGACGCAGCCAUGCCGCGUGGAUGAUGAAGGUCUUAGGAUUGUAAAAUCCUUUCACCGGUGAAGAUAAUGACUGUAGCCGGAUAAGAAGCCCCGGCUAACUUCGUGCCAGCAGCCGCCGUAA
Molecule: ribosomal RNA, 449 nt
Filed under: uncultured bacterium
Lineage: Bacteria
Description: partial 16S ribosomal RNA
Rfam family: Bacterial small subunit ribosomal RNA
Source: RNAcentral